AUUUUCUUUUGAUGUAAAACUGCUAAAGCACUUUGAUUCUACUGGAAGUUCAAAGUCUUUCUUAGUGUGCCAGGAUAUUGGAUAUUGACAGCUGUAAGACUAUUAACUGGGUGUGGACACCAGCAGGGGGAGACAGUGCACUUUAGAAAUUCAUUGCGAGCUGAGGCUUUCCGUUCUUCCUCUCACUUUUCACACUUCCGGACUGAGAAAAGCCAGCACUCCUUCUUAGAGAGUGGUGACCCGGCCAGCUCUUAUUUUCCUGACUAUUCCUCCCAUGUUUCCAAAAUAUGAUGCAACCUGAGACAUGGGUUUUGGAUGUUUGAGAAGCAAAGAAGCAUGAAAUGGAGCAGGACUUAAAGCGUACUUUUGCUUGAAGACCAAGGAGCUCAGUCUUUUACAGGUUCUAACAGGUAUAUGCCCAAGAGGAAAGGAAAUAUGUGUUCAUGAAAAGACUGGUACAGAAGGUUCAUAGAAGAUUUGUUUGUAAUAGCCAAAAACUGGAAACAGCCCCAAGUGGCCAUCAAUGGUGACUUGGUCUGCUAGAGACAAGUGAUGCUGCCUCACAUCUACUCCUCAUUGACUGGAGAGGAAACCAUUUCAUCCUGAAGAGGGAGCUUCACUGUGAGGGAGAUGCUCUGUUACUGACUUUGAACGUGGAGAGGGCCGCAUGGCAGGGAUCCGAGAGGGGCCUCUAGGAGCUGAGAGUGACUCCUGGCUGACAGCUGGCCUGAAGACAGGACUUAAUUCAUACAAGGAAAUGAAUUCUGCCUAUAGCCAGCAAGCUUGGAAGAGGAUCCCAAUCCUCAGAUGAGAACUGCAAACCCAGCUUGUGACUUCAGUCUUGUGAGACCUUAAGGAGAGAGCCGAUAUGAGCCCACCUACACUUCUGACAUAGAAAAUUGAGAUAAUAAAUGGCUUUUAAGUUGCUAAGUUUGUACUAACAUGUUAUGGCAGUGGUAGAAAACUGGUACAAUAUCUUUUUCUCACUUAAGUUUUACACUCUACAUCUUAAGCAUUUUUUUUUACAUAACUGGAAUGCUUAGUAAUCAAUAUACCAUUCACAUAUUAGUUCUUGAUUUUUCAUAUAACUUGUGGCUGUAUGUAUGAUGAUUUUUAAAUACAAAGUUUUUUUUUUAAUAUGGCAUAACAAUGUUUUUCUCUACAGUUUCUUCCUCUGUUUUGUUAUUUUAAAUCAUCCCGCCACCUUUUAAUGAAAUAAAUAUUCACUUAUUUUUUUCUAUAUUUUGAGUUUCUUAUUUUACGUUUGAAAUUUUAAUCAAUCUUAAUACCAUCCAUGGGAGUGUUAAUGUAUGGGCUCUUUUUACUUUCCAAGUGAUUAACCAAUCGAUUGACCCACUACCAGUUUUAGUAAGUUUCCCUCAUUCUACUAAAUAAAAAAUUUACUUUUAUUAUAUACUACAUUCUUAAUUUAUCCCACAUGAAGGCAGGAUAACUUUCUCUGUCCUUGAAAGUACUCCCAGUGUGGCGUUCUUUUAAAGAAGUAAGAGUUAAAUUGCUUACUACGUAAUUAAAAACAAUUUGAACCUUUAUUACACUGUCUUGAGAAAUAUAAAAUUUGGAUUAUAUUUCUAACACCAAGAAAAAUGAUUUAAAAUUCUUCUAAAAUAUCUUCUUCCCCUAAAAAUCUCACACUAUAAUUCUUUUACUCACCAGUUUCCUCAUCACUGUGCUGCUUUUUCCUCCCUUUCACCUAUAGGUGCCAUGAUGAUCAAGCAUACCUCAGAAGACUUGCCUCCUGACCCCUCACAUCCCACUGACUUCCAAUCUCCAUUAGCUACUGCCCUUCACCCCACAAACCAAGACUGACUCCCGAAGAGUGGAGUGGGCCCUGCUGUGCCAUGGAGAAGUGAAGAACAUAACUUACAACACAAAAGCGUCUUAGAAAUGUGUUUCUAUCUUCCAUCCCAAAAUUGUCUCAAAGGGAUAGUAGAUUCCUAAAAAUAUAGUAAAUAAAUUUCUCAAUCUCAUUAAUCUUAACAAAAAUUAGGCUCUGUUUCUGUGCAGUCAAUUUUACUCCAGAGUUGGUUCUUUUUGUAGCAGUAUGAACAUGUUUAGCUUCAUAAUAAUUUGUAAACAUCUGUUAGAGCAACUCCAGUUUUCUUAUUAAUAAUUAUUUUUUACAUUUAUUAUUUUUGAAAAAAAUAGAAACAUUUUAUUAAUAAAAUUAUUGUAUCAAUAUUUAAAUAAAAGCAUCACCAAAUCUAUGUAUUUUGUUAGGGAAAUUGACACAAACUGUCCUGUCAAGAACAUGAUAUCUG
Molecule: long non-coding RNA, 2279 nt
Organism: Equus caballus (horse)
Lineage: Eukaryota; Metazoa; Chordata; Mammalia; Perissodactyla; Equidae
Source: Ensembl